Molecule: ribosomal RNA, 253 nt
Filed under: uncultured bacterium
Lineage: Bacteria
Description: partial 16S ribosomal RNA
Rfam family: Bacterial small subunit ribosomal RNA
Source: RNAcentral
UACGGAGGGUGCGAGCGUUGUCCGGAUUUAUUGGGUUUAAAGGGUGCGUAGGUGGCCCGUUAAGUCCGGGGUGAAAGCCCACUGCUCAACAGUGGAACUGCCCUGGAUACUGGCGGGCUUGAGUCCAGACGAGGUUGGCGGAAUGGAUGGUGUAGCGGUGAAAUGCAUAGAUACCAUCCAGAACCCCGAUUGCGUAGGCAGCUGACUAGGCUGGUACUGACACUGAGGCACGAAAGCGUGGGGAGCGAACAGG